CCUACGGGGGGCAGCAGUGGGGAAUAUUGGACAAUGGGGGCAACCCUGAUCCAGCCAUGCCGCGGGUGUGAAGAAGGCCCUCGGGUUGUAAAGCACUUUCAGUGAGGAAGAACGCCUGGUGGUUAAUACCCAUCAGGAAAGACAUCACUCACAGAAGAAGCACCGGCUAACUCCGUGCCAGCAGCCGCGGUAAUACGGAGGGUGCGAGCGUUAAUCGGAAUUACUGGGCGUAAAGCGCGCGUAGGUGGCUUGAUAAGCCGGUUGUGAAAGCCCCGGGCUCAACCUGGGAACGGCAUCCGGAACUGUCAAGCUAGAGUGCAGGAGAGGAAGGUAGAAUUCCCGGUGUAGCGGUGAAAUGCGUAGAGAUCGGGAGGAAUACCAGUGGCGAAGGCGGCCUUCUGGACUGACACUGACACUGAGGUGCGAAAGCGUGGGUAGCAAACAGGAUUAGAUACCCUGGUAGUC
This 465-nucleotide ribosomal RNA is filed under the name Vreelandella stevensii. RNAcentral's name for it is "partial 16S ribosomal RNA". It matches the Rfam family "Bacterial small subunit ribosomal RNA", at positions 338 to 795 of the family's 1533-position model. The record is from RNAcentral. Lineage: Bacteria; Pseudomonadati; Pseudomonadota; Gammaproteobacteria; Oceanospirillales; Halomonadaceae.